GACAAUGAUUCACAGCAACAAGAUUUUGAUCGUGUGUAUUGUUCAAUAUAACCAAACACUUGGAAAACAAAAUGAUCAUCUUAUUCCUCAGCAUUACUUUGAACACAAUUCUGGUUUCAGGUUCCUCUCUCAGUGACAACGUCCUCCAGACUCCAGCUGAUGUGUUCAACAAACCUGAUGAAACGUUAGAAAUCAACUGUAGACACAGUAUUCAGAACUACAACCGAAUCCUCUGGUACAAGCAAUCGGACAGACAACUGCAGCCCCUGGGAUACAUGUUUACAACCAGUGGAUUCCCAGAGGCUGGUCUGGGAGUGAAGAUAGAAGGGAGUGCAAAUAAAGACCAAAACUGCACAUUAACAAUAGAAGAACUCAGCCUGAACAGCAGUGCAGUGUACUUCUCUCACAGUGCCUCCGUGCACCUGGAAUAA
This is a non-coding RNA of Perca flavescens (yellow perch), 431 nucleotides long. The record is from the annotation of a RefSeq genome assembly. Lineage: Eukaryota; Metazoa; Chordata; Actinopteri; Perciformes; Percidae.